RNAcentral lists this non-coding RNA (24 nucleotides) under Cricetulus griseus (Chinese hamster). The record is from RNAcentral. RNAcentral also lists the same sequence under 1 other name. Lineage: Eukaryota; Metazoa; Chordata; Mammalia; Rodentia; Cricetidae.
GCACGCCUGUAGUCCCAGCUACUC